GAUGAACGCUGGCGGCGUGCUUAACACAUGCAAGUCGAACGGAAAGGCCCAAGCUUGCUUGGGUACUCGAGUGGCGAACGGGUGAGUAACACGUGGGUGAUCUGCCCUGCACUUCGGGAUAAGCCUGGGAAACUGGGUCUAAUACCGGAUAGGACCACUUCUUGGAUGUUGUGGUGGAAAGUUUUUUCGGUGUGGGAUGAGCUCGCGGCCUAUCAGCUUGUUGGUGGGGUAAUGGCCUACCAAGGCGUCGACGGGUAGCCGGCCUGAGAGGGUGUACGGCCACAUUGGGACUGAGAUACGGCCCAGACUCCUACGGGAGGCAGCAGGGGGGAAUAUUGCGCAAUGGGCGCAAGCCUGAUGCAGCGACGCCGCGUGGGGGAGGACGGCCUUCGGGUUGUAAACUCCUUUCGCUAGGGACGAAGCGUUUUGUGACGGUACCUGGAGAAGAAGCACCGGCUAACUACGUG
RNAcentral lists this ribosomal RNA (467 nucleotides) under uncultured bacterium. RNAcentral describes it as "partial 16S ribosomal RNA". It matches the Rfam family "Bacterial small subunit ribosomal RNA", at positions 28 to 507 of the family's 1533-position model. The record is from RNAcentral.